GUUAAGCGACUAAGCGUACACGGUGGAUGCCCUGGCAGUCAGAGGCGAUGAAGGACGUGCUAAUCUGCGAUAAGCGUCGGUAAGGUGAUAUGAACCGUUAUAACCGGCGAUUUCCGAAUGGGGAAACCCAGUGUGAUUCGUCACACUAUCAUUAACUGAAUCCAUAGGUUAAUGAGGCGAACCGGGGGAACUGAAACAUCUAAGUACCCCGAGGAAAAGAAAUCAACCGAGAUUCCCCCAGUAGCGGCGAGCGAACGGGGAGCAGCCCAGAGCCUGAAUCAGUGUGUGUGUUAGUGGAAGCGUCUGGAAAGGCGCGCGAUACAGGGUGACAGCCCCGUACACAAAAAUGCACAUGCUGUGAGCUCGAUGAGUAGGGCGGGACACGUGGUAUCCUGUCUGAAUAUGGGGGGACCAUCCUCCAAGGCUAAAUACUCCUGACUGACCGAUAGUGAACCAGUACCGUGAGGGAAAGGCGAAAAGAACCCCGGCGAGGGGAGUGAAAAAGAACCUGAAACCGUGUACGUACAAGCAGUGGGAGCACGCUUAGGCGUGUGACUGCGUACCUUUUGUAUAAUGGGUCAGCGACUUAUAUUCUGUAGCAAGGUUAACCGAAUAGGGGAGCCGAAGGGAAACCGAGUCUUAACUGGGCGUUAAGUUGCAGGGUAUAGACCCGAAACCCGGUGAUCUAGCCAUGGGCAGGUUGAAGGUUGGGUAACACUAACUGGAGGACCGAACCGACUAAUGUUGAAAAAUUAGCGGAUGACUUGUGGCUGGGGGUGAAAGGCCAAUCAAACCGGGAGAUAGCUGGUUCUCCCCGAAAGCUAUUUAGGUAGCGCCUCGUGAAUUCAUCUCCGGGGGUAGAGCACUGUUUCGGCAAGGGGGUCAUCCCGACUUACCAACCCGAUGCAAACUGCGAAUACCGGAGAAUGUUAUCACGGGAGACACACGGCGGGUGCUAACGUCCGUCGUGAAGAGGGAAACAACCCAGACCGCCAGCUAAGGUCCCAAAGUCAUGGUUAAGUGGGAAACGAUGUGGGAAGGCCCAGACAGCCAGGAUGUUGGCUUAGAAGCAGCCAUCAUUUAAAGAAAGCGUAAUAGCUCACUGGUCGAGUCGGCCUGCGCGGAAGAUGUAACGGGGCUAAACCAUGCACCGAAGCUGCGGCAGCGACGCUGAUGCGUUGUUGGGUAGGGGAGCGUUCUGUAAGCCUGUGAAGGUGUGCUGUGAGGCAUGCUGGAGGUAUCAGAAGUGCGAAUGCUGACAUAAGUAACGAUAAAGCGGGUGAAAAGCCCGCUCGCCGGAAGACCAAGGGUUCCUGUCCAACGUUAAUCGGGGCAGGGUGAGUCGACCCCUAAGGCGAGGCCGAAAGGCGUAGUCGAUGGGAAACAGGUUAAUAUUCCUGUACUUGGUGUUACUGCGAAGGGGGGACGGAGAAGGCUAUGUUGGCCGGGCGACGGUUGUCCCGGUUUAAGCGUGUAGGCUGGUUUUCCAGGCAAAUCCGGAAAAUCAAGGCUGAGGCGUGAUGACGAGGCACUACGGUGCUGAAGCAACAAAUGCCCUGCUUCCAGGAAAAGCCUCUAAGCAUCAGGUAACAUCAAAUCGUACCCCAAACCGACACAGGUGGUCAGGUAGAGAAUACCAAGGCGCUUGAGAGAACUCGGGUGAAGGAACUAGGCAAAAUGGUGCCGUAACUUCGGGAGAAGGCACGCUGAUAUGUAGGUGAAGCGACUUGCUCGUGGAGCUGAAAUCAGUCGAAGAUACCAGCUGGCUGCAACUGUUUAUUAAAAACACAGCACUGUGCAAACACGAAAGUGGACGUAUACGGUGUGACGCCUGCCCGGUGCCGGAAGGUUAAUUGAUGGGGUCAGCGCAAGCGAAGCUCUUGAUCGAAGCCCCGGUAAACGGCGGCCGUAACUAUAACGGUCCUAAGGUAGCGAAAUUCCUUGUCGGGUAAGUUCCGACCUGCACGAAUGGCGUAAUGAUGGCCAGGCUGUCUCCACCCGAGACUCAGUGAAAUUGAACUCGCUGUGAAGAUGCAGUGUACCCGCGGCAAGACGGAAAGACCCCGUGAACCUUUACUAUAGCUUGACACUGAACAUUGAGCCUUGAUGUGUAGGAUAGGUGGGAGGCUUUGAAGUGUGGACGCCAGUCUGCAUGGAGCCGACCUUGAAAUACCACCCUUUAAUGUUUGAUGUUCUAACGUUGACCCGUAAUCCGGGUUGCGGACAGUGUCUGGUGGGUAGUUUGACUGGGGCGGUCUCCUCCUAAAGAGUAACGGAGGAGCACGAAGGUUGGCUAAUCCUGGUCGGACAUCAGGAGGUUAGUGCAAUGGCAUAAGCCAGCUUGACUGCGAGCGUGACGGCGCGAGCAGGUGCGAAAGCAGGUCAUAGUGAUCCGGUGGUUCUGAAUGGAAGGGCCAUCGCUCAACGGAUAAAAGGUACUCCGGGGAUAACAGGCUGAUACCGCCCAAGAGUUCAUAUCGACGGCGGUGUUUGGCACCUCGAUGUCGGCUCAUCACAUCCUGGGGCUGAAGUAGGUCCCAAGGGUAUGGCUGUUCGCCAUUUAAAGUGGUACGCGAGCUGGGUUUAGAACGUCGUGAGACAGUUCGGUCCCUAUCUGCCGUGGGCGCUGGAGAACUGAGGGGGGCUGCUCCUAGUACGAGAGGACC
RNAcentral lists this ribosomal RNA (2666 nucleotides) under Escherichia coli. RNAcentral's name for it is "partial 23S ribosomal RNA". It matches the Rfam family "Bacterial large subunit ribosomal RNA". Lineage: Bacteria; Pseudomonadati; Pseudomonadota; Gammaproteobacteria; Enterobacterales; Enterobacteriaceae. The record is from RNAcentral.